UACGUAGGGUGCAAGCGUUGUCCGGAAUUAUUGGGCGUAAAGAGCUCGUAGGCGGUUUGUCACGUCUGCUGUGAAAACUCGGGGCUUAACUCCGGGCCUGCAGUGGGUACGGGCAGACUAGAGUGCGGUAGGGGAGACUGGAAUUCCUGGUGUAGCGGUGAAAUGCGCAGAUAUCAGGAGGAACACCGGUGGCGAAGGCGGGUCUCUGGGCCGUAACUGACGCUGAGGUGCGAAAGCUAGGGGAGCAAACGGG
This 253-nucleotide ribosomal RNA is filed under the name uncultured bacterium. Its description in RNAcentral is "partial 16S ribosomal RNA". It matches the Rfam family "Bacterial small subunit ribosomal RNA", at positions 524 to 776 of the family's 1533-position model. The record is from RNAcentral.